GGUUGUAGCUCAGCGGUAGAGCGCUUGCUUGGCAUGUGCGAGGCCCUGGGUUCAAUCCUCAGCACCA
RNAcentral lists this transfer RNA (67 nucleotides) under Marmota monax (woodchuck). Its description in RNAcentral is "tRNA.Ala". It matches the Rfam family "tRNA". Rfam says of the family: Transfer RNA (tRNA) molecules are approximately 80 nucleotides in length. Their secondary structure includes four short double-helical elements and three loops (D, anti-codon, and T loops). Lineage: Eukaryota; Metazoa; Chordata; Mammalia; Rodentia; Sciuridae. The record is from RNAcentral.